UGCAGACGGCGGGGAACGCUGCCGAGGCCAUCCCCGGCGGCAAGAUGCGGCCGGGGGCGGUGGGGCGCGGCGGAGACUCCUGCCAACAGCUGCCGACAGGCAGAACUGCAGUUGGAACCGAAUAUAAGGAAGAAAAUAGUCUUGGAAACACUUCAAAGCAUGGCGCCUAAGACUCCUUAAGACACCAAGAGGGAAAUAUUAUUCACAUUACCUUACGAGAUGAACACAGAUUUCGGGUGGGAAAGUUUACAUUUCUCUCAUUGACAACCUUGGCAUCAUGAAAAGCUGCUACGUACGUCCAAGCAUUGACAACCAACAAAGGGCUACUAACGAGGACUUUUAGCCACAACAUCCUUCACUAAAACACUCUUGGCACAGAAAAGGCGGCGCUCAUCUCAUCUCCGCGUCUUGGGAGAUGCGGAAGCUGCAGGUCCGCCGCCCGCCGCACGCCGCUUCUACGCUUCCCGACCAAGCUGCCGCCGAGAAAAUUGCUGCCUUUUUUCUAAUGAUUCAUUGAUAACAGGCUUGUUAAUACAUUUAGCACGUAAUAUCAUAUAUUUUGUUAAAGUGUUUUCCGAAUAUCUGGACACUUAGUUUAGUAAAAAACAAUUAACGCACAAGUUAAUAUUAAA
This is a long non-coding RNA of Portunus trituberculatus (swimming crab), 632 nucleotides long. RefSeq lists it as uncharacterized. The record is from RefSeq and is a predicted model, not a curated record. The transcript is spliced from 3 exons. Lineage: Eukaryota; Metazoa; Arthropoda; Malacostraca; Decapoda; Portunidae.